Molecule: long non-coding RNA, 605 nt
Organism: Gossypium raimondii (Peruvian cotton)
Lineage: Eukaryota; Viridiplantae; Streptophyta; Magnoliopsida; Malvales; Malvaceae
Exons: 2
Source: RefSeq, a predicted model, not a curated record
UGAGGAGGGGACAAUUACUCCAAAAUCAUUUUCACGAUACUUAAAAUUUUCUACUCAAAAUUUCUCUCAAUUUCAACUUCAAUUAUUGAUUUCAAUCUUUCAAUUCCAACAAGCUAAGGAGGUUGGCGAGGCCUCUAAAGCUUAUGGGAAUGAGAAAGUAGGAGAAGCGUGACAGUUUCGGUUUUUACUCUUUAAUUUUUUAUUUUACUUUGUAUUAUCUUAAGUUGAAUGCUUAGGUUGUUGAAUAAACUAUAUGAUUAAGUUGAUUUUUGGUUGAAUAGAAUUGGUUAAGAUGCUUAAUGAAAUUAUUAAAUAUGUUUUAAUUGUUUAAACAAUUUUGAAAUGUAUUCGGAUAUAGUUGACAGAUAUUGAGCUUUUUGAUCUUGUGUGUAUUGUCGGGUUUGUUUAAUGUACCCAAGAGUUAGUAUGUUUGGAGAAUAUAUUGAUGGAGACUUAUGUAUAUUUUGGUGUGUUUAGAGGGUACAUUGUUGUGCUUUGUAUAUUUUUGUAAUGUGUUUGGUUGAAACGCAUGAAAUUUUGUUAUUCUAUAUGGUGUGUCUAGAUUUAUCUUUGUAUCUAGACAAAAUUUUCAUGUUUGAUUAAUA